GAUGAACGCUGGCGGCGUGCCUAAUACAUGCAAGUCGAGCGAACGGACGAGAAGCUCGCGUCUCUGCUGUUAGCGGCGGACGGGUGAGUAACAAGUGGAUAACCUACUUAUAAGUCUGGGAUAACUUCGGGAAACCGUAGAUAAUACCGGCUCAUAUUUUGAACCGCAUGGAUCAAAAGUGAAUGACGGUCUUGCCGUCACUUAUAGAUGGAUCCGCGGUGCAUUAGCUAGUUGGUAAGGUAACGGCAUACCAAGGCAACGAUGCAUAGCCGACCUGAGAGGGAGGACCGCCACAACUGAACUGGAGAACGGUCCCGAAUCCUACGGGGAGCAGCAGUAGGGAAACUUCCGCAAUGGGCGGAAACCUGACGGAGCAACGCCGCGGGAGGGAUGGAGGGCUUCGGAGCGGUAAACUCUGUUAGUUGGGAAGAACAUAUGUGUAAGUAACUGUGCACACCUUGACGGUACCUAAUCAGAAGGGCACGGCUAACUACGUU
Molecule: ribosomal RNA, 497 nt
Filed under: uncultured bacterium
Lineage: Bacteria
Description: partial 16S ribosomal RNA
Rfam family: Bacterial small subunit ribosomal RNA
Source: RNAcentral